UACGAAGGGGGCUAGCGUUGCUCGGAAUCACUGGGCGUAAAGGGUGCGUAGGCGGCCUGUUAAGUCGAACGUGAAAUCCCCGGGCUCAACCCGGGAACUGCGUCCGAUACUGGCAGGCUUGAAUCCGGGAGAGGGAUGUGGAAUUCCAGGUGUAGCGGUGAAAUGCGUAGAUAUCUGGAGGAAUACCGGUGGCGAAGGCGGCAUCCUGGACCGACAUUGACGCUGAUGAGCGAAAGCUAGGGGAGCAAACGGG
RNAcentral lists this ribosomal RNA (253 nucleotides) under uncultured bacterium. RNAcentral's name for it is "partial 16S ribosomal RNA". It matches the Rfam family "Bacterial small subunit ribosomal RNA", at positions 524 to 776 of the family's 1533-position model. The record is from RNAcentral.